Molecule: long non-coding RNA, 344 nt
Filed under: Salvia miltiorrhiza (redroot sage)
Lineage: Eukaryota; Viridiplantae; Streptophyta; Magnoliopsida; Lamiales; Lamiaceae
Description: long non-coding RNA (SMIL_LNC009156)
Source: RNAcentral
GAGGUUCUUCGUUGGUUUCACUAUCUCAAGAGUAUUCUACAUAUUACAAGUGAAGUGCUAGAAUGAAUUAAUCCCCCCUAUGCUAAUGCUAAAGCUCCUAUUUAUAGCUGUGAGAAUGAACCCUAAAGGCCUUAGGCCCACGAACUCUAAUAAUUGGAUUUAGGCCCAAAACAUAAUACAAUGAUCUUAGUCCCCAAGCUGAACCAUCAUACGUGGCUGCGUGGAGAGGCACUUUGACUUCUUCGGAUGGUUUGGGUAAUGAAAAUAGAACUCCCUCGUUGCCCGUGCUGAGUAGUUCCCUUGAACUGCGCUGGCGAGUCUGUGCCGCCAAGUAGUUUGUUGCG